Molecule: ribosomal RNA, 267 nt
Filed under: Bacillus cereus
Lineage: Bacteria; Bacillati; Bacillota; Bacilli; Caryophanales; Bacillaceae
Description: partial 16S ribosomal RNA
Rfam family: Bacterial small subunit ribosomal RNA
Source: RNAcentral
GUCGAGCGAAUGGAUUAAGAGCUUGCUCUUAUGAAGUUAGCGGCGGACGGGUGAGUAACACGUGGGUAACCUGCCCAUAAGACUGGGAUAACUCCGGGAAACCGGGGCUAAUACCGGAUAACAUUUUGAACCGCAUGGUUCGAAAUUGAAAGGCGGCUUCGGCUGUCACUUAUGGAUGGACCCGCGUCGCAUUAGCUAGUUGGUGAGGUAACGGCUCACCAAGGCAACGAUGCGUAGCCGACCUGAGAGGGUGAUCGGCCACACUGG